UUUUCCAGGCUGAACAAGCCCAACUCCCUCAGCCUGUCCUCAUAGGGGAGGUGUUCCAGCCCCCUGAUCAUCUUAGCAAUCAGUGAUCAGGAGCUGCAUUCUGGAUUAGCUAGAUUCCUACAUGAUCCAACGCAGUCAUUCUCUGUUUAUGUUCAUAUGAGAAGAAUUUUAUGAAAAAAAAGAAAGAAAAAAUAAAAAGCAGGUGUACAUUCUCAUUGGUUUUAUUAAACCACUAUGCUAUUACUUUAUCUGAAAGGCUGUAGAAUCAGCUAUUUUUCACCACAUCUCUAUCAAGUUUCUACCUGAUGAAGAACAAUCAGAAGUAAUUUUGAAGCAAUGGAAUGGCCAUGUCCUGUAUGAAAAACAUUUGUGUCCAAUUUUAUUGAAGAAAUAGGGAACAGAAUAGGAGCUAACAGGAUGACUUUUGAAACAUGAAGACCUAUGAGGUGAAGAAACACCUGCAGAAUUUGUUAUUUCUGUCUACUACUGCAUUAGCCAUGGGUAGUAAGUGAUUUUGAAAUUUUCCCAAGUUCUGUGUUGUUUUAUUUUAACUGCUGGACAUGUCUGGGAAGUGACACACCAGAGCUCAGGGUGCUCGCUAUGAUGAGUGGCCAGGUAGGCUGGAGCUGCUCUUGCAGGUGGCUAGCAGGAAAUUUUUGUAAGGGGAUUAAAGGCCAAAAGCAAAUGCCUACGAUACGUGUCAGAGCUGUCAAGGAAAAAAGCAGCACUGCUGCUUACUCAGAGUAAGAGAAGCUGAAGUGCAAACUGAUCCAAAAGGCACUGUCAUGGGGUGUGUCACGCAAGGGGCUUUAGCAAGGAUGAGUGACCAAGUCAGUGAAAUAAAGAUUUGCACAGGGAAGACCAGAAAGCUUUGAGAGCUGGAGUUCAUCCACUUGUUUGUAUACAGCCUGACAGGCUGUAGAGCCUCCUGGCCUACAGACUGAGGAGAAAGUGCCAGCCUCCUCAGGCUGCACCUGGCCUGGAUGGCCACUAUGGCUGGGAGGCUGCUGCUAUGGUCACUUUGCUUAUUCCUCCUUAUGAAGCUGAUAUCCUAAAAUAUCUUUGAGGCACCUUUUCUGCACAGAACAUCAUUUCUACAUGUUCAUGGACUCAUAAGUUUGGUCAUCUGUAUAUUCUAGGGCAUCCCAAACAUGCAAUGUUAAUGUUGUAGUAGUAGUGGUCUAAGAGUGUGAGAAAUGGUAGACAUGAGAAAUAAAAAAAUGUCCUAAGCAUAACAUCAUAAAUUGUAUUCUAAAUAGUGGUUCUAAUAAAAAAUAAUACCUCUUUCUACAGUUCUCACCUCACACAUCACAGACCUGUACAUGGCUACAUGGUGGAAAACACAUGUUAAAGUAAACUGGCACUUUUCAACAAGGGAUCCAAAUGUUCAAACAAGAUGCAAGACAAGAUACGUGUCUUACCAGGGUGAUACGUGUAUACUGAUGUGGUGUCAAGUAUUUAUUUUUCAUCUACAAAACAAGAGCCUUGCAGCAGAUGCCUGGAAGUACUUAUUUUGUAGCAUACACAAAACUCUUGAACUUAAAGCCACACUGUGUUCAUUCAGUUUCUCCUGCCUGUGCAGCAGAGAGGGAUUUUACUCAUUUGGCUGCUAAAAGUACACCACUGUGUACUUGUGGCCAUCUAACAUACACUGAGAAGAGCAAGCUAAAGCAGCUGCAGUCUGUGACCAUGGUGAAUAUCCCCUAAUUUCUAACUAAUUUCUAAUUAAGCAGAGUAUGAAAAUAGUUAUUACACACUGCCUCCUGCCAUCAUCACCUGAUCCUUUUGCCCAGAGGAAGGACAUCCAGCCCGCCACUCCGAUAUGUUUGGUUCCUUUUGUUUGUUUAUAACUAUUCUGAAGAUUGAGCUGACAGCUAAGGUGGGCAGGGCUGUGCCCAGGUGCUGGAAGGUUUGCCCUCAGAUGCCACCCCUCCUGACAAAGCUGAACAAUGGGCCACUCAUGGGAAAGUAUCGAGUUGCCUGACCUAAAGUGAGCUGUCACCAAUUUAAGCAUGGCAAAAAGCAUGACUCACUGCUACAUGCAGUUCCAAAAAGCCCUUAGUGAAGAAAAACAUGUGACUUUGCACUUGCUAAAGCAGGGCCACUCUAGAGUUUACAGCUGCUGUCAGCCCUCAGAGCUUUCCUCUUCACAAACAACAGUGCUUUAUGCAUGAAGACAGUCUCAAGAGCAAGACAGAGGAGCCCUGAUGGAACCAUAUUCCAUCGAAAUGUGUGAUUUUAUCAGUUCACUUCAGAAGAAGAAUUCUGCUUUAUAAUUUACAGGACUUCUGUCAAGCACAUGAAGCACAUGUAACUGGAACUGGGAUUGCAUGGGGAUACUGCACAGCCUGAACACUCACUGAAAAGCUCUCUGCCCCCCACCAUCCCCUCCCUCUGCAUCAUUUAGCUUUAGUUUCCUAAUGUUGCUUGUCUUUCUUCCUCUUACCAUGAUCCUAGCACCACUUGUGUUUCCAGGACAGCACUAAAGAUGUGCUAGCACCACAGAGAAAAAGAGAAAGAAAUAGAUACGUGUAUUGAGAAAAGCAGACUGAAGAGUCAUCAGAUGCCUUGUCACCAUGCUGUUCUUUAUUUGAAGACUUCAUGGUUCUUUUGGACAGUCUGAGGUACCCAUCCACCCUGGUUGCAGUCCCCAUCUCAAGAAGCCAUAGGAGGAUUUUAUCUUUUCCAGUUGUGUUGACACUGGACUUCAACCUUUCAGCACUGGCCGUGACGGAAGAUCAGGAUCAGAUCAUUGCAAACCUGAAGGGCAGGCAGGAGGCAUACCUCACACACUAAAAGUUCACCAGUGCAGAACAUGAGUAAAUCCUGUUCCACUUGAGUUUUCUUUCUACAGUAUUUAUAAGGUUUACUGAACACAGAGAGAUAUACACAUGCCAGUAAUAGCCUUUUUUUCUGGAGGCGCGGAUCUGUGGAUCCCUCCAACCCACUGGUCACAGAACCGGGCCGAACCAGCCUGUAAAACCAUUGACAGUAACCCUUAGAAAUCCUGCAGCUACAGUAAUAACGUGCCUUCAGGACUCUCUUGCAGAUACUCCCAGCACUUUCAUAGGUGGAGAGGUGGUAGAGGGCAUGAUGAACAUGCAUUUGUGUGAUACCCACAUCCUCCUGGGUGACAAACAAGUGUAUCUGAGGAGCUUGCUGCAGACUGCCCCUAGUCCCUUCCAGUGUCUUGCCCCUGCACUGCAUCAGAAAGCCCUGUGAAGGGCCUGCUUUGGCUGAAAAGAGCUUCUCCGUCAGACACGUGGCGAGGGAAGGCAGGUGGAGUCCCUGCCCUAGGAAGGUCAUGGGAUGUUUGGUCUUGUUUUGCUUCAUCAGCUUCAAGAUGCCAUUUCUACAUGUGGUUUUGGAACCCUUGGGGUUUUCUCCCUGUAAAUUUAUAACAUAAUAUAAUAUAAUAUAAUAAUAAUAAAUAUAAUAAUAAUAA
Molecule: long non-coding RNA, 3445 nt
Organism: Lagopus leucura (white-tailed ptarmigan)
Lineage: Eukaryota; Metazoa; Chordata; Aves; Galliformes; Phasianidae
Exons: 2
Source: RefSeq, a predicted model, not a curated record